AUGCUCACCUCAGCAGCAUAUACUAAAAUUGGAACGAUCCAGAGAGGAUGAGCAUGGCCCUUGCACAAGGAUGACAUGUGAAUUUGUGAAGCCCUCCAUAUCUUA
This is a small nuclear RNA of Saimiri boliviensis boliviensis (Bolivian squirrel monkey), 105 nucleotides long. The record is from Ensembl. Lineage: Eukaryota; Metazoa; Chordata; Mammalia; Primates; Cebidae.